ACCAAAUGUUCUGAAUAUAAAAAAUAAAAACGUACUUUAAGUAAAAAGUCGGAAGAUAUGUGACAUCCUGUUAUAUGAAAAUGACAUGGACAUCUACAACACUUCCUGAUAAUAAGUGAACAGAAUGAAAGGUAAGCAAUGUUAUACAAUUUUCCGUUUCAAUACAUAAUAAAGUUUGCAAAGGAAAAAAGUAUAUGCAAAUCUUAGCUAAAAGACCUUUCCAAGUAAUGGUGUAAGAUAGUUACAUCACUUAAUGAUUCUAUGAUUAAAAGUUACUAUAUUACAUUUGUUCAAUAUUACGUCAAAAUAAUUAUCGGUAAGUGUAUAAUAAGGUAUGUACCAUUGAAUUCGGAGGGAGGGGAAUGCCUAGAGCAUUUAAUUUCAUAGUAAAAACCUUUCCAUAGACUAUUCAAUUUAACACAUAUUUACAACUCAAGUAAUCUUUUAAUUGGUUUAUUGAUCAUAGUUUAUUUUCACUGACUACUUAAUUGUAUUACUGGUGUUUAUAAAACAGAGUUCAAUAACCAACUAAGUUGAAUUUGGAAAAUAGCGGUUUAUAUUUCAAUCUCACAUAAUUAUAUGAUUUAAAAAGGCCCUCGAGUCCAGAAUAAAAAAAAAUGUAUUUUGCUGGUUUAAAUAUGUAUCUUGAUAUAAAGUAGUGUCUUACUUCAUGUACUUUUUUUUCGUGGUAACUUGACAACAUGAAUUGACAUUAAAUUACAGAGGAAGCUUUACAACUUUUGAAAACAUUUUUCAAUUUCACAGCUAAACUUAAAUUUUACAGAUAUUAUAUGUUGUGCUCAUAGCUAGUUAAGCGACUAUGUAUUUAAAAUCAACUAACAAUAAAUCAAAGAUUAUAGUUUGUGUUUUUAUUUUCCAAGUAAAAACUAAAAGCGUUAUAAGAAUAUAGAUAUUGGGGGUAUAUUUCCUUCAGACAUAAUCACUUUUUCUUAAUUCAUGAUGAUAUGGACCCAUUUCUUUUAGAAUAAAAAAAAAACAUUUUUUUCUUAAUUUUCUUCACAAGGUUUUCAUUCGUUUUAAGCAAGUACUAAACUUUAAUGAAGAUAUAAGGACCAUAUGUGUUAUUCUUUAUUCCAAUGAUACAAACUUGCAAUUGUCAAAAAGAUUUCUUAAUAUUCAAUUUUUCAAAUAGCAAGAUAAAUAAGAAUCGAUGAGAUAACUAAUUACAAACUUUUAUUUUAUUUUGAAUUUGGGACACAUCAUUUUAUUCCAAAAUAACUAGUGGCAAUUUUUGGUUCUGAAUGUUUUGAUUACGAUACAGCAAAGUCUUAUCAUUGUCGUCAGUCAUGCACAGUUGCUACAUAUAACACGGGAAUAGUAUGUUAUAUAGAACUUAGAGGGCAAGUUCUAUCAAUUUGAUUGGAGUAGAAGUUGUAAGUAUGUGGUUAAUGUUGACCUGUCUGUGCAUGCAAUUACGUUUUUAGCCUUGAGUUAAAUACUAUUUAAACCGUUGCUGUGAAGUCAUCCUGUUUAUUUAACAUGGUUUAUUUUACUAGAAUCAACGGUUCGUAGGGCUGUUGCUGAAAGAAAUCACCAACUCGUGUUUAAUUCUUAACUUUAUGUGUGUCAUUUAAUUAAGUUUGAACAGGUUAAUUUAUAUUUACUGAUUUCUUGUAACUAAUGGAAUUAAUUUAAAAACUUAAGUUGAAAUUUUGUAAUUGUUAUAUACCUUCACGAGGAAUUAAACCCCUCCUUAAAGUCUGUUAUGUGUGACUGGCAUUAUCACACCGAGGAAACCACUCGGCUACCAAUGGGUUGCAACUUAUUUGUAUAAAUAAACAUAUGAUACGCAUCGGUACAACGAACACCAUGGGCAUGUGCCUUUAUAUAUACAAUAUAGACUAUCGUGUAGUCACAACCCGUGAGGUUACAAUCAAUAUGUUAGAGACAAGUUAGAAGAAGAGACUAAUCGGUUUAGGUUUUAAAGGAGUAGGUCCAGUAAGACCCCUUUUUGCCCCCAAAAUAUAGCAGUUUUACAAAAUUGUUAAAAACUAAACGUUUAGUUAUUUAUUGGAAAGUAGAAUGCAUCUGCUACAUAAAUAUAGCCUGUUUUUUACAAUACAAUGCACAUGUAUCGGGUUCUUGCAUCAUUAAGUCAUGCUAAAUUACUGAAAUCUUCACAAUUUUAGCAUUUGAGUUAAAUUUUAGACGGUUUCCGUCUUAAGUGAAAGUGGCCGCAUUCGUGUUCAUUCUUAAUAUUGAAAUUUAAGUUGUAUAUGAUGAUAAUACAUAACAUAUAUAAAGGUUGAGGAUGUACACGGAUGCGGCCACUUUCAUUUUUGAAAAAAACCCUCUGAAAAGUGACAUUUUUUUUUGCAUAUUAGAUAGAUUUUUCAUCGGAAUCGGAACGUUUUUAAUGACUUAAUCGGUUAAAAUCUUUCACAUAAACUAAUUGAUUCGACUGAAAUAGACACUUAAGUGUUUAAAAAAUGUUCAAAAUCUUUCGUCCUGAAAUUUGAAGCCCUUAUAUUUAGUUUUAAUUGUUUUUUUUGUAUGUUAUUGUGGAAUUUUAGCAAUAACAGCCUAAUUUCUAAUUUAUUUUGGAUUAUUAUAAGCUAUUUUACGUAUUUGAAAAGAAAAUUAUUACAUUCAAUUUGUCUACUUUUUAUUUUUAUAAAUAGUAUGAUUUUAUCUGUUUUUCUUAAUAUCUUAACACAUGUUUGUUCGCAAAAUCCUAAACAAGGUAAUCGUGGUGUGCCUAGAAUUAAUAGAAAUUUCUGUUACAAACUUAGUAUAUAUACUUAAAAAUAUGUUCGAAUAUGUCUUAUUUUGUAAAUUUUGUAAAUUACGGAUAACAUUCAGAUAAUCCGCUGUUCAAAGUCAUAAAUUGAUUGAGGGAAAACUAAUUCGAGUUUAAAACUAAAACCGAGGGAAACAUAUCAAGAGGAAAACAACAGAACAACAGAAACACUGAAAUGCAACAUAAACAAACGCCAACGUACAUAGAAACGAACUAUUUGAUAACAACUGCCAUAUUACUGACUUGGUACAGGACAUAUUCUAUAAAAUUCAGAGGCAAUGGGAGGGUGGGAAGAAGACAAGGGUGAUAAGAAACUCUUUUGUCUUCAUUGAUUUGAAGGAGUAACAAAAUCCGAGCCAAUAGUAAAAAAUGAAAAUAAACUAUCCUGAUUUAUUUUCAGAUAAAGAAUUAUAAUGGCUUUGUGAACUUGUGACAGAAUAAAUUCGGAAAAAAGCCAGUUAAACCAUGACAACUUUUGUCUGAAAUACACGUAUCUAUGAAUGAUAUUGAAUGUUUAUGCAAUCGAAACAAACAACAAAUAUAUCUGAAG
RNAcentral lists this long non-coding RNA (3311 nucleotides) under Mytilus galloprovincialis (Mediterranean mussel). Lineage: Eukaryota; Metazoa; Mollusca; Bivalvia; Mytilida; Mytilidae. The record is from RNAcentral.